UAGAGUCACCAGAGAGGAGGGAAGCCUCGGC
RNAcentral lists this non-coding RNA (31 nucleotides) under Mus musculus (house mouse). The record is from RNAcentral. Lineage: Eukaryota; Metazoa; Chordata; Mammalia; Rodentia; Muridae.